RNAcentral lists this transfer RNA (64 nucleotides) under Monodelphis domestica (gray short-tailed opossum). It matches the Rfam family "tRNA", at positions 5 to 66 of the family's 71-position model. From Rfam's summary of the family: Transfer RNA (tRNA) molecules are approximately 80 nucleotides in length. Their secondary structure includes four short double-helical elements and three loops (D, anti-codon, and T loops). Further hydrogen bonds mediate the characteristic L-shaped molecular structure. tRNAs have two regions of fundamental functional importance: the anti-codon, which is responsible for specific mRNA codon recognition, and the 3' end, to which the tRNAs corresponding amino acid is attached (by aminoacyl-tRNA synthetases). tRNAs cope with the degeneracy of the genetic code in two manners: having more than one tRNA (with a specific anti-codon) for a particular amino acid; and 'wobble' base-pairing, i.e. permitting non-standard base-pairing at the 3rd anti-codon position. Lineage: Eukaryota; Metazoa; Chordata; Mammalia; Didelphimorphia; Didelphidae. The record is from Rfam by way of RNAcentral.
CUUUGGUGCUAUAGGUAGCACUUCAGUCUCCUAAGCUGAAGGUCCUGAGUUCCAUCCUUAGAAG